GUGGUGGUGCAACGGAUAGCACGUAAGAUUCCGGUUCUUGAGAUGUGGGUUCGAUUCCUGCCGAGGGCGUACCA
Molecule: transfer RNA, 74 nt
Filed under: Fictibacillus sp. S7
Lineage: Bacteria; Bacillati; Bacillota; Bacilli; Caryophanales; Fictibacillaceae
Description: tRNA-Arg
Rfam family: tRNA (bases 4-62)
About the family: Transfer RNA (tRNA) molecules are approximately 80 nucleotides in length.
Source: RNAcentral